This 449-nucleotide ribosomal RNA is filed under the name uncultured bacterium. Its description in RNAcentral is "bacterial SSU rRNA". It matches the Rfam family "Bacterial small subunit ribosomal RNA", at positions 330 to 793 of the family's 1533-position model. The record is from RNAcentral.
UCCAGACUCCUACGGGAGGCAGCAGUGGGGAAUAUUGGGCAAUGGGCGCAAGCCUGACCCAGCAACGCCGCGUGAAGGAAGAAGGCUUUCGGGUUGUAAACUUCUUUUGUCAGGGACGAAGCAAGUGACGGUACCUGACGAAUAAGCCACGGCUAACUACGUGCCAGCAGCCGCGGUAAUACGUAGGUGGCAAACGUUAUCCGGAUUUAUUGGGUGUAAAGGGCGUGUAGGCGGGAAUGCAAGUCAGAUGUGAAAACUAUGGGCUCAACCCAUAGCCUGCAUUUGAAACUGUAUUUCUUGAGUGCUGGAGAGGCAAUCGGAAUUCCGUGUGUAGCGGUGAAAUGCGUAGAUAUACGGAGGAACACCAGUGGCGAAGGCGGGUUCCUGGACAUUAACUGACGCUGAGGCACGAAGGCCAGGGGAGCGAAAGGGAUUAGAUACCCCCGUAC